Molecule: unclassified non-coding RNA, 182 nt
Filed under: soil metagenome
Description: partial internal transcribed spacer 1
Source: RNAcentral
ACAAAUCAGAUAUGGGAUGUCGAGCAAUCGACACACCAAUAUAUCAACCCGAACCUGGCAGCAAUGCCGGGUGAGGUGCAGCACUGUAUUGUGCUGCGGUCGGCCUGGAAGUGUUAUGCGGAAGGGCUGGCCACAUAGACGCUUGUAUGUUUGACAGUUUUGUGUGAUUAAUACAAAAAUGA